AGUGGCGGACGGGUGAGUAACGCGUGAGGAACCUGCCUUUCAGAGGGGGACAACAGUUGGAAACGACUGCUAAUACCGCAUGACACAUAGAGAUCGCAUGGUUUUUAUGUCAAAGAUUUAUCGCUGAAAGAUGGCCUCGCGUCUGAUUAGCUAGUUGGUGAGGUAACGGCCCACCAAGGCGACGAUCAGUAGCCGGACUGAGAGGUUGACCGGCCACAUUGGGACUGAGAUACGGCCCAGACUCCUACGGGAGGCAGCAGUGGGGAAUAUUGGGCAAUGGGCGCAAGCCUGACCCAGCAACGCCGCGUGAAGGAAGAAGGCUUUCGGGUUGUAAACUUCUUUUGUCGGGGACGAGUAGAAGACGGUACCUGGCGAAUAAGCCACGGCUAACUACGUGCCAGCAGCCGCGGUAAAACGUAGGUCACAAGCGUUGUCCGGAAUUACUGGGUGUAAAGGGAGCGCAGGCGGGAAGACAAGUUGGAAGUGAAAUCCAUGGGCUCAACCCAUGAACUGCUUUCAAAACUGUUUUUCUUGAGUAGUGCAGAGGUAGGCGGAAUUCCCGGUGUAGCGGUGGAAUGCGUAGAUAUCGGGAGGAACACCAGUAGCGAAGGCGGCCUACUGGGCACCAACUGACGCUGAGGCUCGAAAGUGUGGGUAGCAAACAGGAUUAGAUACCCUGGUAGUCCACACUGUAAACGAUGAUUACUAGGUGUUGGAGGAUUGACCCCUUCAGUGCAGGCAGUAAACUCAAUAAGUAAUCCACCGGAGGAGUACGGCCGCAAGGUAGAAACUCAAAGGAAUUGACGGGGGCCCGCACAAGCAGUGGAGUAUGUGGUUUAAUUAGAAGCAACGCGAAGAACCUUACCAGGUCUUGACAUCCUACUAACGAGAUAGAGAUAUGUUAGGUGCCCUUCGGGGAAAGUAGAGACAGGUGGUGCAUGGUUGUCGUCAGCUCGUGUCGUGAGAUGUUGGGUUAAGUCCCGCAAUGAGCGCAACCCUUACUGUCAGUUACUACGCAAGAGGACUCUGGCAGGACUGCCGUUGACAAAACGGAGGAAGGUGGGGAUGACGUCAAAUCAUCAUGCCCUUUAUGACUUGGGCUACACACGUACUACAAUGGCGUUAAACAAAGAGAAGCAAGACCGCGAGGUGGAGCAAAACUCAGAAACAACGUCCCAGUUCGGACUGCAGGCUGCAACUCGCCUGCACGAAGUCGGAAUUGCUAGUAAUCGUGGAUCAGCAUGCCACGGUGAAUAAGUUCCCGGGUCUUGCACUCACCGCCCGUCA
RNAcentral lists this ribosomal RNA (1287 nucleotides) under uncultured bacterium. RNAcentral describes it as "bacterial SSU rRNA". It matches the Rfam family "Bacterial small subunit ribosomal RNA", at positions 94 to 1399 of the family's 1533-position model. The record is from RNAcentral.